This 489-nucleotide ribosomal RNA is filed under the name uncultured bacterium. Its description in RNAcentral is "partial 16S ribosomal RNA". It matches the Rfam family "Bacterial small subunit ribosomal RNA", at positions 28 to 507 of the family's 1533-position model. The record is from RNAcentral.
GACGAACGCUGGCGGCGUGCUUAACACAUGCAAGUCGAACGGUGAAGGGACCAGCUUGCUGGUUCUGGAUGAGUGGCGAACGGGUGAGUAACACGUGAGUCACCUGCCCCCUUCUUCUGGAUAACCGCAUGAAAGUGUGGCUAAUACGGGAUAUUCUGGGUCUGUCGCAUGGCGGGCCCGGGAAAGAUAUUGCUUCGGUGGGGGAUGGGCUCGCGGCCUAUCAGCUUGUUGGUGGGGUGAUGGCCUACCAAGGCGGUGACGGGUAGCCGGCCUGAGAGGGUGGGCGGUCACACGGGGACUGAGACACGGCCCAGACUGCUACGGGAGGCAGCAGUGGGGAAUAUUGCACAAUGGGCGCAAGCCUGAUGCAGCGACGCCGCGUGAGGGAUGGAGGCCUUCGGGGUGUAAACCUCUUUCGCCAGUGAAGCAGGCCCGCUCCUUGUGGGUGGGUUGACGGUAGCUGGAUAAGAAGCGCCGGCUAACUACGUG